CUCCUACGGGAGGCAGCAGUGGGGAAUUUUGGACAAUGGGCGCAAGCCUGAUCCAGCCAUGCCGCGUGCGGGAAGAAGGCCUUCGGGUUGUAAACCGCUUUUGUCAGGGAAGAAAAGCUUCAAGCUAAUAUCUUGAGGUGAUGACGGUACCUGAAGAAUAAGCACCGGCUAACUACGUGCCAGCAGCCGCGGUAAUACGUAGGGUGCAAGCGUUAAUCGGAAUUACUGGGCGUAAAGCGUGCGCAGGCGGUUGUGCAAGACAGGUGUGAAAUCCCCGGGCUUAACCUGGGAACUGCACUUGUGACUGCACAGCUUGAGUGCGGCAGAGGGGGAUGGAAUUCCGCGUGUAGCAGUGAAAUGCGUAGAUAUGCGGAGGAACACCGAUGGCGAAGGCAAUCCCCUGGGCCUGCACUGACGCUCAUGCACGAAAGCGUGGGGAGCAAACAGGAUUAGAUACCCUGGUAGUCCACGCCCUAAACGAUGUCAACUGGUUGUUGGGAGGGUUUCUUCUCAGUAACGUAGCUAACGCGUGAAGU
This 536-nucleotide ribosomal RNA is filed under the name uncultured bacterium. RNAcentral's name for it is "bacterial SSU rRNA". It matches the Rfam family "Bacterial small subunit ribosomal RNA", at positions 336 to 865 of the family's 1533-position model. The record is from RNAcentral.